AUCCUAAGGUGAAUUAUCACCCAUGGUUGUCAAAAUUGAUUGCAGCAUUGUUUAAUUUGAUUAACCUACUUGUAGAAAAUAAUGAGCAACAAAGUUGAAAAUAAAGCAAAGCAGUUCAAUUAACAGAAUGUUAUCUCAUCGUAUGGUCAUUUUCUUGCUGCAAACUUCUCCACUGAGACCACUUAUUGUAUUGUUUUAGCCUUUUCACAGGUAGACGUGCCCUCUUCUUUUGUGGGUUUAGUUUUGGAGAA
This 251-nucleotide unclassified non-coding RNA is filed under the name Hevea brasiliensis (rubber tree). Lineage: Eukaryota; Viridiplantae; Streptophyta; Magnoliopsida; Malpighiales; Euphorbiaceae. The record is from RNAcentral.